This is a long non-coding RNA of Cucumis sativus (cucumber), 431 nucleotides long. RefSeq lists it as uncharacterized. The record is from RefSeq and is a predicted model, not a curated record. The transcript has 3 exons. NCBI's taxonomy places the organism in Eukaryota, Viridiplantae, Streptophyta, Magnoliopsida, Cucurbitales, Cucurbitaceae.
UAGACAUGCUGCUGCAGUUCAUCCAUUAAAAAAAGGUGGAAAGUUUGUGGAUUUACACCAUUUGAACAUGGGUUGGGUGCACGCAUUAACAACGAACCUUUUCCUUAAAGUCUGAGAUGACAAACACGAGAAGGAAUCUCUUCAAAAUAUCCAUUAAUAUCCCCAUAUUCAGAACCAUUUCAGCUUCCCUUUUGACCUUCUUCUCUUUUUGUAUCUCUUUCCCUUGCAGGCCAUCCUAACAAAACCUCCCCUUUCUCCUUCUGCUCUCUAGAGUUAGAUGGAUUCAGAUCGUCAUCGGAAAAUAGACUACCGGUAUAUUGCUGAUAAUUUCAGCUCAUUGGAUCAGGUUAUAUCUGCAUUGAGACACGAAGGUCUUGAAUCAUCAAAUUUAAUUCUUGGUAUCGACUUUACAAAGAGUAAUGAGUGGACAG